UACGGAGGGUGCAAGCGUUAAUCGGAAUUACUGGGCGUAAAGCGCGCGUAGGCGGUUUGAUAAGUCGAUUGUGAAAUCCCCGGGCUCAACCUGGGAAUUGCAGUCGAGACUGUCAGACUAGAGUGUGGGAGAGGGUGGUGGAAUUCCCGGUGUAGCGGUGAAAUGCGUAGAUAUCGGGGAGGAACAUCAGUGGCGAAGGCGACCGCCUGGCCCAACACUGACGCUGAGGUGCGAAAGCGUGGGUAGCAAACAGG
RNAcentral lists this ribosomal RNA (254 nucleotides) under uncultured bacterium. RNAcentral describes it as "partial 16S ribosomal RNA". It matches the Rfam family "Bacterial small subunit ribosomal RNA", at positions 524 to 776 of the family's 1533-position model. The record is from RNAcentral.